ACUUGUGCGGCGGUCGGCGCGGGGCGCGAGAUGAGGAAAUCGAGGCCGCAGAGAAGGGACUUACCCAAACUUAAGCUUUGUGUGGGCCUUGGAGCUAGGCUGAAGGAGAAAGUGGAGUCUCACUGGGGCAAGUUCCUUCAACUUUCAGGGAUUCAAAUGACCUCACUUGUAGUGCGGGGCGUCCGGACCACCCCUCAGGAAUUGGGAUCAGGGCAAGAAUUACUAACUAAGCAAGCACCCCGCCUGGGAGGGAGCGUCCAGGACUGGUGUGGGCCCCUGUCUGUACCAGAGCGGAGGCCCGGGGCACGGUGGGAUUAAUUUCCAUGGGUGCAGAGAGGGGAGCCGUGUACGGAGUCAUUCUAGGCUUAGGGGAGACAGAGCAAAGUUAGCCUUCCCCAAACCUCUGUGCCUUCCUUUUCUUCCUGGAUUCCUACCUGGGGGUGGAGGUGGAGGCGGGGGUACCGCUGCCUUUCUCAAAGUGUGUCUAGUCCAGCAGUGAGCCCUCCUGGGCGUCUUGGCGCCCCAGUUGCUUCCUGGACGUAUUGGGGUUUCUCUGGGAGAAGGGUCUUGCCUGCAGUACCCUGGGCCUCCUGAAGAGGCCUCUGGUUGCGCUGCCUGAUUCAGGGACCCAGAGCCACGACUCGCCGAGAGGAGCUCCGGCGG
RNAcentral lists this long non-coding RNA (663 nucleotides) under Homo sapiens (human). RNAcentral's name for it is "non-protein coding lnc-KIFC2-2:3". The record is from RNAcentral. Lineage: Eukaryota; Metazoa; Chordata; Mammalia; Primates; Hominidae.